GGGUGGAUGUAGCCAAGUGGUUAAAGGCAGUGGAUUGUGAAUUCAUCACGCACGGAUUCGAAUCGCGUCGUUCGCCCA
Non-coding RNA from Rhododendron molle, 78 nucleotides. The record is from the annotation of a GenBank genome assembly. Lineage: Eukaryota; Viridiplantae; Streptophyta; Magnoliopsida; Ericales; Ericaceae.